RNAcentral lists this transfer RNA (72 nucleotides) under Toxocara canis (dog roundworm). It matches the Rfam family "tRNA". From Rfam's summary of the family: Transfer RNA (tRNA) molecules are approximately 80 nucleotides in length. Their secondary structure includes four short double-helical elements and three loops (D, anti-codon, and T loops). Further hydrogen bonds mediate the characteristic L-shaped molecular structure. tRNAs have two regions of fundamental functional importance: the anti-codon, which is responsible for specific mRNA codon recognition, and the 3' end, to which the tRNAs corresponding amino acid is attached (by aminoacyl-tRNA synthetases). tRNAs cope with the degeneracy of the genetic code in two manners: having more than one tRNA (with a specific anti-codon) for a particular amino acid; and 'wobble' base-pairing, i.e. permitting non-standard base-pairing at the 3rd anti-codon position. Lineage: Eukaryota; Metazoa; Nematoda; Chromadorea; Rhabditida; Toxocaridae. The record is from Rfam by way of RNAcentral.
GGGGCAGUAGCUCAGUGGUAGAGUUCCGGCUUCGUAUGCGAGGAGGCUUGGGUUCGAUUUCCGGCUGCUUCC